AUUCCUGAAACCAGAGUGUUAC
RNAcentral lists this small nuclear RNA (22 nucleotides) under Arabidopsis thaliana (thale cress). RNAcentral describes it as "snRNA_00342". The record is from RNAcentral. Lineage: Eukaryota; Viridiplantae; Streptophyta; Magnoliopsida; Brassicales; Brassicaceae.